This 208-nucleotide ribosomal RNA is filed under the name uncultured bacterium. RNAcentral describes it as "partial 16S ribosomal RNA". It matches the Rfam family "Bacterial small subunit ribosomal RNA", at positions 568 to 774 of the family's 1533-position model. The record is from RNAcentral.
CGCGUAGGCGGACAUUUAAGUCAGGGGUGAAAUCCCGGGGCCUCAACCCCGGAACUGCCCUUGAUACUGGGUGUCUUGAGUUCGAGAGAGGUGAGUGGAAUUCCGAGUGUAGAGGUGAAAUUCGUAGAUAUUCGGAGGAACACCAGUGGCGAAGGCGGCUCACUGGCUCGAUACUGACGCUGAGGUGCGAAAGUGUGGGGAGCAAACA